Molecule: ribosomal RNA, 253 nt
Filed under: uncultured bacterium
Lineage: Bacteria
Description: partial small subunit ribosomal RNA
Rfam family: Bacterial small subunit ribosomal RNA
Source: RNAcentral
AGGACGAACGCUGGCGGCGUGCUUAACACAUGCAAGUCGAGCGGAAAGGCCCUUCGGGGUACUCGAGCGGCGAACGGGUGAGUAACACGUGAGCAACCUGCCCCUGGCUCUGGGAUAGCCUCCGGAAACGGGGAUUAAUACCGGACAUGACCUGCCGCGGCAUCGCGGCGGGUGGAAAGUUUUCGGCCAGGGAUGGGCUCGCGGCCUAUCAGCUUGUUGGCAGGGUAAUGGCCUACCAAGGCGACGACGGGUA